AGCGAACGCUGGCGGCAGGCCUAACACAUGCAAGUCGAGCGCCCCGCAAGGGGAGCGGCAGACGGGAGAGUAACACGUGGGAACGUACCCUUUGGUUCGGAACAACCCAGGGAAACUUGGGCUAAUACCGAAUAAGCCCUUACGGGGAAAGAUUUAUCGCCGAAGGAUCGGCCCGCGUCUGAUUAGCUAGUUGGUGAGGUAACGGCUCACCAAGGCGACGAUCAGUAGCUGGUCUGAGAGGAUGAUCAGCCUCACUGGGACUGAGACACGGCCCAGACUCCUACGGGAGGCAGCAGUGGGGAAUAUUGGACAAUGGGCGCAAGCCUGAUCCAGCCAUGCCGCGUGAGUGAUGAAGGCCCUAGGGUUGUAAAGCUCUUUCACCGGAGAAGAUAAUGACGGUAACCGGAGAAGAAGCCCCGGCUAACUUCGUGCCAGCAGCCGCAGUAAAAC
Molecule: ribosomal RNA, 450 nt
Filed under: uncultured bacterium
Lineage: Bacteria
Description: bacterial SSU rRNA
Rfam family: Bacterial small subunit ribosomal RNA
Source: RNAcentral